UUUCCGAAUGGGGGAACCCAACAUCUUUAAUAGGAUGUUACGAUUGUGUGAAUACAUAGCACAUUCGAGGUAGACGCAGAGAACUGAAACAUCUAAGUACCUGCAGGAAGAGAAAGAAAAUUCGAUUCCCUGAGUAGCGGCGAGCGAAACGGGAAAAGCCCAAACCAGCAAGCUUGCUUGUUGGGGUUGUAGGACUCCAAUAUGGUAGUUCUUUCAGAUAGUCGAAUGACUUGGAAAAGUCAGUCAAAGAGGGUAAAAACCCCGUAGACGAAAUGUGGAAGACACCUAGGAGGAUCCUGAGUACGGCGGAACACGAGAAAUUCCGUCGGAAUCCGGGAGGACCAUCUCCCAAGGCUAAAUACUCCCUAGUGACCGAUAGUGAACCAGUACCGUGAGGGAAAGGUGAAAAGCACCCCGGAAGGGGAGUGAAAUAGAACCUGAAACCGUGUGCCUACAACAAGUCAAAGCCCGUUAAUGGGUGAUGGCGUGCCUUUUGUAGAAUGAACCGGCGAGUUACGAUUGCAUGCGAGGUUAAGUUGAAGAGACGGAGCCGCAGCGAAAGCGAGUCUGAAUAGGGCGUUUGAGUAUGUAGUCGUAGACCCGAAACCAUGUGAUCUACCCAUGUCCAGGUUGAAGGUGCGGUAAAACGCACUGGAGGACCGAACCCACGUACGUUGAAAAGUGCGGGGAUGAGGUGUGGGUAGCGGAGAAAUUCCAAACGAACUUGGAGAUAGCUGGUUCUCUCCGAAAUAGCUUUAGGGCUAGCCUCGGAAUUGAGAAUGAUGGAGGUAGAGCA
RNAcentral lists this ribosomal RNA (796 nucleotides) under Enterococcus faecium. RNAcentral's name for it is "partial 23S ribosomal RNA". It matches the Rfam family "Bacterial large subunit ribosomal RNA", at positions 111 to 909 of the family's 2925-position model. The record is from RNAcentral. Lineage: Bacteria; Bacillati; Bacillota; Bacilli; Lactobacillales; Enterococcaceae.